CCAAUCAAUCAAACAAUAGAAGCAAGAAAAGAGAGCAAAUCUAGAGAAAUGACAUGGUGCAAUAAUAACUCAGUUGAUGAAAGAGCUAUUCAAUUAGUCACAGCCAGCUCCAAAGAAAACACUGUUAUUGAUACCAAAAUUGAUCAAAUUCGAACCAUAACUUGCCCUUCUUGCGGCCAUGAUAUCCAGUUGCAAGAUCAGGCUGGUGGGAUAGUUCAUGAUUUACCAGGG
This 231-nucleotide unclassified non-coding RNA is filed under the name Hevea brasiliensis (rubber tree). Lineage: Eukaryota; Viridiplantae; Streptophyta; Magnoliopsida; Malpighiales; Euphorbiaceae. The record is from RNAcentral.